RNAcentral lists this long non-coding RNA (11903 nucleotides) under Daucus carota (carrot). RNAcentral's name for it is "long non-coding RNA (DCAR_LNC001732)". The record is from RNAcentral. Lineage: Eukaryota; Viridiplantae; Streptophyta; Magnoliopsida; Apiales; Apiaceae.
AAAUAAACCAAAUCGGAAAUCUUUGCCUAAUCUUCAUUCACGGGAGUCCAUUUCUGCUAAAACCGAAGGAAAGUCUAGCAAGUUGAAACAGAGGGAAACAGUAGCAAAAGGUGAAGAUAUGAAAGCUACCGCAGAUAAAGAGCAAGCAAGCAAAACCGAGUCUGUAAACCCUCCUGAACUUGAGGAUGUAAAACUCGAGAAGAAUCCUCCCGGGAACACUGAAUUGCUUGCUAAUUCGGCCCAUCCUUUUGUGCCGGAAACUGAAGUAACUCUGAAUGGGGGGUGAUCCAGACAUUUGAACUGCUUACCUUGCUUCUGGAGGCUAAUAACAUAAUUUUGAUUAUUUAAAAGUUGUACCUAAUUCUUAAUAGUUCCCCAUUUUCUUAUGGUUAAUUUAUCUUGUGCAUAUACAAUUUGUGUUUCUUUGUAAAGUUAUGUAUAAAUAUGAAUUGUGGCGGCUACAUUGUAUAAUAUGUUAAUAUUGCUUGAUGUCUAUUCUUCGAAGUCCUCUGAUCGUCUCUUUCUUGUGAUUCUCAAGCUCGCUUUCUUUAUUCUUUUCAUCUCUUUCUAUUUCCGUUUGUAUUUUUUAGGCAAGGAGAAUGAUAAUGUAAUCCGAAGAAUAUGUUUAUAUAAUUAUAAAAUUAUCACUAAUUUAUACUCCUAUUUACUCAUAUAAUCUAUUCAAGUACAUAGAAGCAUUUUUCUCUAAACCAAAUCCUGACAGGAAAAGAGACUAUAUAAACUAAAUGUAAACCGGGAAUUACCCAAUGUUAUCCGAAGAUUCAUUAGAUAUUGUUAAAAUGCUUAUAUAAACUUAUGUAUUGUAUUUUCAAUUAAGUCAGCAACCAUGCAUGUAUACAUCAAAACUAGACAGUAAGUUGGCUCAUCAAUUCAUCAUUUUUAUUUGACCAAUAUUACCAUACUUGUUCUCACUCUCUAGCAGUUAGGUCAUGAGCAACUCAUUUUUAUCAAAUGCUCAUGAAAUUUAUAAUUUCACUACUACAACUAUUUAAAUCCGAGUUGUGCAUACCAUGGACUUAUCAGACUCUUAAAAUGCAUAUGUUUAUGAUGAGAUAUCAGAGAGAAUUAAUAUACAUACUAGCUAUAAAAAUUGGAAAUAUCAAACACAAUCGACCACCGAACUGAAGAGGGAUCACCGUACCAGCUUGCCAAGCAUUUGAUUUUGCUGGAAUAGCAAGUCUAUAGCACGAGCCAAUGAUAAGAUUAUUGGUUUCAAGACUAAUGAUUUGAAGAAUUUAGUUUAGAAAUUUGAUAGAUAAGAUAAAUUAGUUUUGAGUAAUAUGCUCUCCUUACUUCAGCAGUUUAAUUACCUUCUAAAUUAGCCCGAUUCAUAUGUUUGCUUUUUGUGUCUUGUACUCAAAGAUCAUACUGAUUUAUAAAGUAUGAUAUUGACUAUCCAUUUCGUUUAUUUCUUUUAGUUGAUUGGACUGCUUAAUCUUAAGUCAAAAAAAUAAUCAGUUAAAUCAUUUUUUUAUAUUAAAAUUUUAUUGCAUACUACGAACAUGUCCCAUAUGUGUUCAACCACCACCCCGAACCUGUUUUAAGAUGCCUUUUCACUGUGUUUUUUAAUUUCACAUGGCUUGUAAAAGAAAUAAAAAAAAUAAAAAUUUAAAACUACGUCUUUCAAAUGUAAUAUGAAACUACGAUUUUACGCUUCAUUAUCGGUUAUAAUAAUCACUGGUAAAAUUUGAUUUCUUGAGUAGGUCAAAAUAGGUAUUUAGUAUUGAUUUCUGCAUAAUAUAUGAACGAGACCCUAAAAGUUCAAACGUUGCCUCAGUUAAUUAUACCGAAAAGUUUUCCAAUAAUUUAUCCUGAAAAAGUUUUCUAGAUUAUUUUUUAAAAAAUUUCAAAGAAUAUUUUCUGGAAUAUUGUUUUCGAGAAAAAUUCUAAAGAACAUUUUUCUUGAAAAAUGUUCACCGGAAAAUUUCCAUAUACAAUGAAAAAUGUGUACAGUCUGCAAGCAGUUGCCUCAUGACUGACGUAUUUAUAUUUAACUCAAAACAAAUUAUCAAUUUAUUAUAAGCGAUACGAUCUAAUAUUCUCAAAAUGCAUGUAAUUGUUUAUUUCAUUUCAUUAUAUUGAUAGUAGAGGAAAAUUGUAUGUAGCCCACUAAAUUAUGAUAUGUUGUUUUCUAGUUCAUUCAAGAACGCUACUAGUAAAUCAGAUUUGCCGGUGCCGGGGGUGCAAGAAGCCCCUGAGGCGCACAUGGUCUCAAAAUUUGGAAUGCCUCAAAUUUCGAGGUCCAUAAUAUUUAUAUACAUAUAUAAUUAAUUUUAUUUUUUAUUGUAUGUUACUUAGAAUUUCUUAUUUAUAUAUUUUUUUAUAGUUAGUCGAUUAUCAUUAAUAUUAUUAUUGUUAUAUAUAAACUGAUAUUAUAUAUUCUAUUGUUAGUAUUAAUUAAUAUUUAUUAAAUUAUUUUUUGAGAUUUUUUUAUUGAUUUGCUAAAUAUUUUUAGAGAAUAAUUAAUAUAUAAUUUUUAUUCUUGUCACAUAUUAUAUAUUAUAAAUAUUAUUUAUUUUUUUUGUUAGAUAAAUCAAUUUAGUUAACGAAAAUAUAAAUAUGCUACUCAGACGAUGGAUGUUUUAUUAGAUGUUUUCUUUGUUUCAAACUUCAAAUUAAUUUAAAAUAAAAUAAAAGGGUGAUAUUCAUUUUUUUUAUUAAAAAACCCACAAUUAAAUUUAGCACAGAGCCUCUUUUUUGAUUGAGCCGGGAAUCUUUAUAUAUUUAUCAUAAAUUCUCGUAUUUGGUUUCUUUGUCCUUCACAUUUUCUACUACCCUUUCUUCUUCCUUUGAGCUUCUUAAUUCAUUGAAGAUAUCCGUCAAAGUGUUUCGCUAUAGGAGCUAAAUAACAAUUGACACAGAUGCAUUUCGAGUAAAUUUAUCCCUCGUUCUUUUUGUAUAUUAGAGAGAUUUUUGCUUGAGAGUGCUUGGCAGAUUCAACAGAAAUGAGCAGCCGAGUAAAUAAUUGUGCACAUACUCAGCACACAUCUGCGGUGUACCUGAUGCAUGAAAAGCGUCCGGCACAACAACUUUUUAACAUCAUCGUUUUGGCAUUAAGGAGACGUCACAGGUGUCUGUCUAUAUUUACGGUUAAAAUGGGACGCUGAAAACUAAAUAGUCGUCCAUCAAACAAGUGUCGCUUUUCAAGAUAACUGACCCUUAAGUUCUACUCCCUCCGUCCCCCUCAGUAUUAUAUAUUGGGGAACGAGGACGCGGCAUGAACUUUCAUGGUGGUGCAAUCUAUUUUUUUUCUCAAUUAAAAUUUGGAUGUUAUAUUUUUAUACAGGAAAAAAAAUCUCAAAAAUAAAUUACGAAACUAUAUUUUAUAAGAAUAUUGAAAUGUGUGUCAGGAAAAAAAACAUAUAAAAUUAAAUGGGAGAAGGAGUACGAAACUUCCCCUACUUACCAUCAAUUCAUCACAUAUAGAGUAUGUGUUUUAGUUUAAAGUCAUACAUAGUUGCUCAUGAGUAAAGUAUUUAUAAUAACCCUGUUGAAUAUUCAGUUCCACUUUUAAAUUUGUUAUAUGAAAUAAUCAAUUGAAAUGAUAUUAGACUCAUUCUAAGAUUUUAAAAUGGCAUGUAACGUUUUAUUUCAUUCCAUAUAUUUAGAUAUCGGAGGAAACUUUACCACGUAAAGCUGUAUUGCGGUUCCAGAUGACUCGAUCGAUUAAAAGACAGUUACCCGUUUCUUGUCUUGAUUGAAUCAUGUCUCUAGGCUUAUAAAAAUUAUUUCAAACAAUUAUUAAGAUUAUUGUUAGACCUAUAAGAAUUUUUAACUAGCAUCGCACAUGAAAUUUAUCAUAGACUUCUAAAACGAUUAUAAAUUAAAAUUUUAAAUUUUACUAAAAUAAAUAUUUUACCAAUCAAUUACGAAAUAUUUUUUUCAUUUUAUUUAGAAAUCAUAAACAACAUAAUGAUUUUACUACAAUAAGUAUAUCAUUUUAAAUUCAUAUUAUAACAUGUAUUUGAGAAUAAUUUUUUCAGAAAAAGAUCAAAAAAAAAAAGAUCAAUGAGUAAACUUGCAACUUUACACCAAUUUAUAAAAAGUUGAAAUAUUAUUCUAUCCAAAUUUAAUUUUUCUGUAAAAUUUAAAUUAUUUAAAGAAAAUAAAUGUCUUAGUCAGCAACCAUGCAUUUAUACACAUGAAAAUUACACAGUAAUUAGUUGGCUCAUCAUUUUUUAUUUGACCAAUAUUAGCUUGUUCUCACUCUCAAGUAGCAGUUGGGUCAUGAGCAACUCAUUUUUUAUCGAAUGCUAAAGAAAUUCAUAAUUGCACUACUACAACUAUUUAAAUCCGAGUUGUGCAUAUAUACCAUGACUCUUAAAAUGCAUAUGCAGUUGUUUAUGUUGAGAUAUCAGAGAGAAUUAAUAUACAUACCAUCUAUGAAAACUGGAAAUAUCAAGCACAAUCGACCGACUAUGUCAUUGGAUAUGACUUGAAGAACUUAGUUUAGAUAUUUGAUAAAUAAAUUACGUUCGAAAUUAGCUUUUUACGAUUGUUAAGUUGAAUAGCAAUAUAUCUAUUAUUUUAUUUAAGAGGAUAUCAAUGAGCUGAUUCUUCUUGUGUCUAGUAGCUUGAUGCUCAAAGAUCAUACUGAUUUAUAAAGUAUGAUAUUGACUAUCCAUUUCGUUUAUUUCUGAUUGGACUGCUUAAUCUUAAGUCAAAAAAAUAAUCAGUUAAAUCAUUUUUUUAUAUUAAAGUUUUAUAGCAUACUACGAACAUGUCCCAUAUGUGUUCAACCACCUCCCCGAACCUGUUUUAAGAUGCCUUUUCACUGUGUUUUUUAAUUUCACAUGGCUUGUAAAAGAAAUAAAAAAAAAAUAAUUUAAAACUACGUCUUUCAAAUGUAAUAUGAAAUUACGAUUUUACGCUUCAUUAUCGGUUAUAAUAAUCACUGGUAAAAUUUUAUUUCUUGAGUAGGUCAAAAUAGGUAUUUAGUAUCGAUUUCUGCAUAAUAUAUGAACGAGACCCUAAAAAUUCAAAUGUUGCCUCAGUUAAAUAUACCAAAAGUUUUCCAAUAAGUUAUCCGGAAAAAGUUUUCUAGAUUAUUUUUCAAAAAAUUUCAAAGAAUAUUUUCUGGAAUACUUUUUUCGAGGAAAAAUGUUCACCAGAAAAUUUUCAAAUACAAUGAAAAAUGUCUACACUUUGCAAGCAGUUGCUUCAUGACUGACGUAUUUAUAUUUUAACUCAAAAUAAAUAAUCAAUUUAUAAACCAAAUUUAAAAGCGAUACGAUCUAACAUUCUCAAAAUGCAUGCAAUUGUUUAUUUCAUUUCAUUAUAUUGAUAGUAGAGGAAAAUUGUAUGUAGUCCACUAAAUUAUGAUCUGUUGUUUCUAGUCCAUUCAAGGCUACGCUACUGGUAAAUCUUUAUCAGUAGCAAUCAAGAGCUAGCAAUCAAGAGCUAAGUAACAAUUAACACAGAUGCAUUUAGAGUAAAUUUAUUCCUCGUUCUUUUUGUAUAUAGGAGAGAUUUUUGCUUGAGAGUGCUUGGCAGAUUCAACAGAAAUGAGCAGCCGAGUAAAAAUAAUUGUGCACAUACACACAUCUGCCGACUGCGGUGUACCUGAUGCAUGAAAAGUACACAGUGAGUUGGUUCAUCAAUAAUCAUUUCCUAUUAUGACCAAUACUACAAUACUUGUUCUUACUCUCAAGUAGCAGUUGGGUCAUGAGCAACUCAAGAAAUUUAUAAUUUCACUAGUAUAUCUAUUUAAAUCCGAGUUGAGCCAUCGGACUCUUAAAAUGCAUAUGCAGCUGUUUAUGUUGAGAUAUCAGAGAGAAUUAAUAUACAUACUAGCUACGGAAAUUAUAAUAUCAAGCAAUGUGAUCGUUCUUAUAUUUGAAUUUUGUUCCCGGAGAAAGUCGAAGCUAGACGAUAUUGGACCAUUGGCCUUGUAUUCUUUCUAGCUCUUUGCAUUAUAUUUUGAUGGAGAGUCAACCUUCACAAAACUUUACUACUAUUGUCCUUUACCCUUCAUCCCUUUCCCUUUUCAUCUAUCUACCAUUCCAAAUAGCUUGUAGCUGAAGUUAACUAACAGGGAAUUGCUAUGAAGAUUUCAAUGGCCAGUUGCUCUUUCUGUCCGUCUAGAAAGUGGUAGUAAAUAUCUUAAAUGCUUACCACUUCGAGACCUUUUAAUGGAAUUGGCAUGCUUUAUUUACUUAUUUUUGACCACACUACAAACAAUGGCUUUCUGCAGUUGCUUUUGUUUUUGUUAAAAUGGCCUUGAUGUCACUCCAUUGUCUUCACAUACAUCGUCUUCACAUACAUCACCAGGUACAAUGGUAUAGUUACUUUUUGUUCUACAACACCAUUCUAAAAGCUCAAUGAAAAAUUGUGCUCGCUGAUGUAGUACUUCACAUACAUCACCAGGUACACUGUUAUAGUUAUUUUUUUUUUCUACAACACCAUCCUAGAAGCCAUUAACUGAAAUAUAUAGGGGGUGUUUGGAAGUUAGAGGUUUGGAGUAAAAUUAGAAGUUUGGGGUGUUUUAGAGGUUUGACCAUUUCAAUCCGCUAAUGUUAGUGUUUGGUAGUUAGCGGAUUGAAAUAGAGGUUUGGGCUCAAAAAGCUAAUUUUCAAAAAGCUAGUUUGAGGAGCUUUUUGGGUUAGCGGUUUGGGUAUGUGUCACAAAAAGCUUAUCAAAUAGCUAUUUACCAAACAAUUUUACAAGAAACCGCUAAUUUAAUCCGCUAGUCAAAACAUCUAUUUAAAUCAGCUAGUCAAAACAUCUAAUCCAAUCCGCUAACAGCUAACCGUUAAUUCCCAAACAGGGCUAUAAGGAGAUUCUAGGUACUCGUGUUUUUUAUGUAUUAAAAAACUGAAAUGCUUAGACUGUUAGGGACGGUGCCAGUAUGGACGAUUGUACAAUGACCAACAUGCAUGGUCUGUCAAUGUUAUGAAAUAAAUCGAUCUUAUUGUCUAUAAUUCAGUUCCUUUUUGCUGGACACACAACAACCUUUAGAUCAAUCAUCAAUAUGUUUUUUGCCUUCAAUUUAUUUACUUUCAACUUGCACUUCCUCAUACACAAAAUUUCUUUUGGUGUGUUUAUCGUAACAGAUGCCAACCACGUGUGCAAGAUCCCCAAAGCUUGGAAGAAGAAAAAGUUAUAGUGGUACACGCAACUCCUUAGAAGGUGCAUCAGGUCAUGUAAGCAGAGAACACAAAACUUCAACCAAAAGUAUGCAGGUGAAAUAUGAAAACAAUAAUGUUUUCAAAAAUAAACCAAAUCGGAAAUCUUUGCCUAAUCUUCACUCACGAGAGUCCAUUUCUGCUAAAACCGAAGGAAAGUCUAGCAAGUUGAAACAAAGGGAAACAGCAAAUGGUGAAGAUAUCAAAGCUACCACAGAUAAAGAGCAAGAAAGCAAAACCGAGUCUGUAAACCCUCCUGAACUUGAGGAUGUAAAAGUCGAGAAGAAUCCUACCGGGAACACUGAAUUGCUUGCUAAUUCGGCCCAUCCUUUUGUGGCGGAAAAUGAAGUAACUCUGAAUGGGGGUGAGGGUGAUCCAGACAUCUGAACUGCUUACCUUGCUUCUGGAGGCUAAUAACAUAAUUGUAAUUAUUUAAAAGUUGUACCUAAUUAUCUUAAUAGUUCCCCAUCUUCUCAUGGUUCACUUAUCUUGUGCAUAUAUAAUAUGUGUUUCAUUGUAAAGUUGUAUAUAAAUUUGAACUGCGGCGGCUGCAUUGAUAUGUUGAUAUGUUAAUAUUGCUUGAUGUCUAUUCUUUGAAGUCCCCUGAUCGUCUCUUUCUUUUGAUUCUCAAGCUCGGUUUCUUUAUUCUUUUUCAUCUCUUAUUUCCAUUUGUUUUUUGAGGCUUCUUAGUCCAGUGAACAGUGAAGGAGGGAAAAUGUUAGGUACCCCAGGAACUAUUGUCAAAUUUUUUCCCCCAAAUUUGUAUGUAUGUAAGAGCAUCUCCAAGAGACUCUUCAUUUAGGCUCCUAACUUGAGAUUUGAGGAGGGAGAAGAAAAAUGUUGCUUCAAGAGACUCUUAAGUGGCUCUUAAAUCACUAAGAGCCUCUUGUUUCUCUCUCCUCUCUCCUCAAAGUUAAGAGCCACCACAUGGCUCCUAACUUAUUUUUUGACAAUAAAAAAAUCCUUCCCUCCAAUUCACCUCCAUCUCUUUUCCUCUCUUUUGUUAUAGUGGAGCCCAAUAUAUGAAUAAAAUAUGAAAUAAAAAAAAGAUGUAGAGAGUAUUGUUGGAGUUUACACUCUUAACUUUGUCCUAAAUUACUAAGAGCCACAUUUUUUAUAUUAUAUUUAGGAGCCAACGAAGAGGCUCUUGGAGAUGCUAACCACCUAAUUAAAGCUAGUCAUUUUUCUGUCACGUCAUUCAUCCGUCAAGUGAUUCAGUUUGAAGGCUGGUUAGAAUAUGCAGAACCUUUCCCAAAUUUACCAUCAAUUCAUCACAAAUAUGUGUUCGAUUUGAAGGCGUUGGUUCAUGAGUAAAGUAUCUAUAAUAACGUAUAUAAAUUAAUUAAUUGAAAUGAUAUUAGACAUUCUAAGAUUUUAAAAUGAUAGGUAACUAUUCAUUCCAUAUAUAUUUAGAUAUAGGAGGAAACUUUACCGAGCCAAGAGCAGCUCGAACAUGAGGCAUUUGUUAGCUGAAAUUGUCAUGUGGCACCCAUUAUACAAAUCCUUUAAAAUUUUAAGCACUCCAAGAGUACCUUUCUAUUAGCUAAAAUGUUAGCUACAAAGAUUUCAUCCUUCAAAUUUGCUGAUUCUCUCUCCAUCAUCCCUAUGAGUUCCACCUCUGUCUCUUUUCGCUGCUACUAUAUUAAAUAUUUAUGUAUGAUUAUUUUUAUAUAAUAUACAGUGUAAAAUCAUUAUAAAAAAUGUAAAUAUUUUCAUUGUUAACAAAUUUACUUAUUACUUAUACAAUUAUUUUGUAUUAGAUUAUACAUUCAAACUACUAAUAAAUUAAUAUAAGAGGUAAUUGCAUAUCGCACUCCCUAAGUUUCGUUAAAAAACGAUAGUGUACCCAUACUUUGAGAAACUCAACUCGCACCCCCUAACUUUACGUUUCCAAAACGAUACGCACCACUUCCGUUAACUCAUUGCAACUGCCGUUAAAUUCCCGUUAAAGUGACAUGUAUAUCACUUUAAAACAGCCUACCCUGCUUGCAAUGCAUUUCUCUAAACAAUCUGUAGCAACACUAAACAACUGCAGCACCAACAGCACUAAACAAAUCACCAACACCAAAUUAAAACAAAACCCACAAAAUAAUCUCUGCUAGUUUCCACUACAAAUAUAAAAUGGCUUAACUAAAAGUAGUAGCAAUGCUAUGAUGCAAUGCAUCUUAAUAUUGCAUAUGGCAUUCAAAAAUUUCCCUAUGCAUUUUUGGCCUCUUCCUAAACACUACUCUAAAAAAACAUAUCAUGGGGCAUAGAUUUUGCCUGCUAACUGAAAUAAUUUAAAUACAACAUACCUAAUGCUUAAGGUGAACAAAUACCAGAACAAUCCAAAUAUCAUAGCUUGAAAUACGAGACAACUCACCUAACUUAAAUCCAAUAUACUGAUUCAAUAUCGAUUAUAUGCCUUUCCAAACUCUUCAUGCCUCUGUCGUGGAUAGUCACCAUAAGUAUCGUGGGACCUUGAAGGAGGGAAAGUUUCUACAGAGUUUUGGUACCUGCCUCUAGAUUCUGGUGCUAAAUUCCCUCCAUAAUAUGCACUGAUGACGAAAGGGUGGAAAGAGGAGUGUGUAGAGAGUCUAGAGACAAAUGCGUGCAACUCGAGCUGUAGACAAGUGUAAAGCGUGUGAAAAGACUAAAUUGCCCUUGCUUUUUUAAUGUUAACGUUAGUUUAUGUGACGAGUUAACGGAAGGGGUGCGUAUCGUUUUUUGAAACGUAAAGUUAAGGGAUGCGAGUUGAGUUUCCUAAAGUAUGAGUACAAUAUCAUUUUUGAACGAAACUUAAGGGGUGCGAUAUGCAAUUACCUCUUAAUAUAAUAAAAAAAAUAAUGUUUCUAGUUUUAAGAAUUAUCUUAUUUCUAAAACAUCUAAAUAAAAUUUCGGAAUGAAAUUGAUUUUAAAUAAUUAUAUAUUUUUAAUUAUAAGAUAAAAUUUUAAUUAAUUAAAAUAACAUAUAUUCUUGUAUGAAAAAAUUCAUUUGAUUAAAUUCAAAAAAUAAUUUAUUUAUGAAUUUUAUUUACAAUACAUAACUACUAUGUGAAAUUUAGUCAUUAAAAUUUGAAAAUAGUAAAAUAAUAAUAUCAUUUAAAUUAAUGAGAAUAAAAUAUACUCUAUAUUUAUAUAAAAUAUUUAUCUAAUUGAAUUUAUAGGAAAGUUAUUUAUGAAACUUAUUCACAAUAAGUAAUUAUUAUUUGAAAAAUAUAACUGCUAGAAUUUGAAAACAAAAAAAUAACAUAAUUAUAAAAUAUAACUAACAAUCGUAGCGGAUAUCGUUAGAAGAAAAACUUACAGCAAAUUUUUACCUAAUCAUCUGUAUUUACACUUUUAGCUAACAAUUAUAGUUAUCUCCCUUCAAUAUACGUUGGAUUGUUAUACUCGAUAUGAACCAAUUAAAAUAUUUAGAAAAAAUUAUUAUGUUUGAAGGACUGUUUGGCUUAGAUUAAAAUACGUGAUUUAUUGUUUGAAAUAAAGAAAAAAUUAUAAAUGAUAAGUGAACUUGAUUUAUAAGUUAAUUAAAAGUGUUUGAAUAAUUUUAAUUAUAAGUCAACUGAGUGUUUGAUAAUUUAAAUUUAUAAAUUGAAAAAAUUGAAAUUAUUAAUAUACAUGAAACUUUAUUAAUAAAUAAACUUAUUACACAGUAAAAUUUUAAAAUCUUCAUAAUAAAAUGCAAAUCGCUAAAAAAGUUUUAAAAAACCAGAUUUCCGACUUCCAACUUCAGGCUUCAAAAAUUCAAAAGAAGCACUCCUAUUUUUUUUUUCCAUACAUUCCGCAAGAAGUACUCCCUCCGUCCCCUUUUACAUGUCCAUUUUCAAAAUAUUUUUUGUCCCUAUUUACAUGUCCAUUUAUACUUUCAAAACUAAUUUAAUGAUAGUUUUUCAAAUAUAUCUCCAUAAUUUUAAUUUUCAAGGCUUGACUUAUUUAAAACUUGGUUGAAUACAUGUUUUCAAGAGAUAAAGUAGGGGUAUUCCCUCAUUUUCAGACAUUAAUUAGAGAUAUUUAAUAAAAAAGUUUAUACAAUCAAUUAUUUCUAGGAUAAUUAAUUCAUUAGUCCCUCAACUAUAGGCCAUUUAUGGUUUAGGUCCCUGAACUAAAAAGUCUAAUAAAUAAAUCCUUUAACUUUCAAAAAAUCUGAUUCGCGUCCCUCAGUCAGAAUUUGACUAACGGAUGUUAGUCAAUGCUGACGUGGAAAUCGAAAAUAAAAAUAAAAAUGACCAGGAAAAUGACGUGGCAAGCAAAAUUCACGGAUUGAAGUGAAAUUUUGAUAUGUUAAUUUACGAGUAAUUUCAAGAACAUCGCUGGUGAAACUUUUCGAUUUUGAAUUCACUAACGUACAGAAAUCUACCCGUUAAUCUCAAGAACAGGAAAAAAACACUUACGAAAAUCUGCAUAUUUCUAUACGUUAGUGAACUCAAAAUCGAAAACUUUCACCACCGAUGUUCUUGAAAUUACUCAUACAUUAACAUAUCAAAAUUUCACUUCAAUCCGUAAAUUUUGUUUGCCAAGUCAUUUUCAAGGUCAUUCUUAUUUUUAUUUUCGAUUUCCACAUCAGCAUUGACUAACAUCCGUUAGUCAAAUUCUGACGGAAGGAUGCGAAUCAGAUUUUUGAAAAGUUAAAGGACUUAUUUAUUGAAUUUUUUAGUUCAGGGACCUAAGUCAUAAACGGCCUAUAGUUGAGGGACUGAUGAAUUAAUUAUCCCAUUAUUUCUUGGUAUGUGUUUUUUGUCCACUUCUCGAGGAUGUAAAACUCGAGAAGAAUCCUAC